GGGCGAGUAGCCGAAUUGGUAUAGGCGCUAGGCCUAGGACCUAGUGGUCGAAAGGCCGUGGAGGUUCGAGUCCUCUCUCGCCCA
RNAcentral lists this transfer RNA (84 nucleotides) under Candidatus Sungiibacteriota bacterium. Its description in RNAcentral is "Candidatus Sungbacteria bacterium tRNA-Leu". It matches the Rfam family "tRNA". From Rfam's summary of the family: Transfer RNA (tRNA) molecules are approximately 80 nucleotides in length. Their secondary structure includes four short double-helical elements and three loops (D, anti-codon, and T loops). Further hydrogen bonds mediate the characteristic L-shaped molecular structure. tRNAs have two regions of fundamental functional importance: the anti-codon, which is responsible for specific mRNA codon recognition, and the 3' end, to which the tRNAs corresponding amino acid is attached (by aminoacyl-tRNA synthetases). tRNAs cope with the degeneracy of the genetic code in two manners: having more than one tRNA (with a specific anti-codon) for a particular amino acid; and 'wobble' base-pairing, i.e. permitting non-standard base-pairing at the 3rd anti-codon position. Lineage: Bacteria; Candidatus Sungiibacteriota. The record is from RNAcentral.